RNAcentral lists this ribosomal RNA (378 nucleotides) under Triticum aestivum (bread wheat). RNAcentral's name for it is "partial small subunit ribosomal RNA". Lineage: Eukaryota; Viridiplantae; Streptophyta; Magnoliopsida; Poales; Poaceae. The record is from RNAcentral.
GGCUCCAUUAGUGCGGUGUGCAGGAACUCGGUGGGUGAUUACCUUGGACCCUCGGCGAUGGUGUGCCCAGGAAUUGUUGAUUCAAUCGUCCUUGAAGCCAUGGCUUGUCGAGAAGCGCUAUCACUUGCAUCUGAUCUUUAUCUGGACCAACUAGAGAUAGCCUCCGAUUGCAAAGAACUAGUGAACAACCUCUUUUCUGUCAAUGGAGGGCUUCAUGGCAAUAUUGUCCGGGAAAUCAGAAGAACCGCGACAUCUUUCCAAAAGUCCUCCGUCAUCUCUGAAGGGAGAAUCUCGAACCUCGAGGCGCAUAGCCUCGCUAAACAUUCUCUUAGUCUUACACUUGGACGCCAUCUUGGCUCCUUUAGCCCCUCGAUUUAA